GUGCUCACUUUGGCAACGCAUAUACUAAAAUUGAAAUGAUACAGAGAUUAGUGUGGCUCCUGUAGAAGGAUGACAUGCAAAUUCAUAAAGUAUUCCAUUAAAAA
Small nuclear RNA from Cercocebus atys (sooty mangabey), 104 nucleotides. The record is from Ensembl. NCBI's taxonomy places the organism in Eukaryota, Metazoa, Chordata, Mammalia, Primates, Cercopithecidae.